This 710-nucleotide ribosomal RNA is filed under the name Escherichia coli. Its description in RNAcentral is "bacterial LSU rRNA". It matches the Rfam family "Bacterial large subunit ribosomal RNA", at positions 2238 to 2925 of the family's 2925-position model. Lineage: Bacteria; Pseudomonadati; Pseudomonadota; Gammaproteobacteria; Enterobacterales; Enterobacteriaceae. The record is from RNAcentral.
AUCCGGGUUGCGGACAGUGUCUGGUGGGUAGUUUGACUGGGGCGGUCUCCUCCUAAAGAGUAACGGAGGAGCACGAAGGUUGGCUAAUCCUGGUCGGACAUCAGGAGGUUAGUGCAAUGGCAUAAGCCAGCUUGACUGCGAGCGUGACGGCGCGAGCAGGUGCGAAAGCAGGUCAUAGUGAUCCGGUGGUUCUGAAUGGAAGGGCCAUCGCUCAACGGAUAAAAGGUACUCCGGGGAUAACAGGCUGAUACCGCCCAAGAGUUCAUAUCGACGGCGGUGUUUGGCACCUCGAUGUCGGCUCAUCACAUCCUGGGGCUGAAGUAGGUCCCAAGGGUAUGGCUGUUCGCCAUUUAAAGUGGUACGCGAGCUGGGUUUAGAACGUCGUGAGACAGUUCGGUCCCUAUCUGCCGUGGGCGCUGGAGAACUGAGGGGGGCUGCUCCUAGUACGAGAGGACCGGAGUGGACGCAUCACUGGUGUUCGGGUUGUCAUGCCAAUGGCACUGCCCGGUAGCUAAAUGCGGAAGAGAUAAGUGCUGAAAGCAUCUAAGCACGAAACUUGCCCCGAGAUGAGUUCUCCCUGACUCCCUGAGAGUCCUGAAGGAACGUUGAAGACGACGACGUUGAUAGGCCGGGUGUGUAAGCGCAGCGAUGCGUUGAGCUAACCGGUACUAAUGAACCGUGAGGCUUAACCUUACAACGCCGAAGCUGUU